GAUGAACGUUGGCGGCGUGCCUAACACAUGCAAGUCGAACGCUAGUAGCAAUAUUAGAGUGGCGCACGGGUGAGUAACACGUAGCUUAUCUACCUCCCAGCGCGGGAUAACGGUUCGAAAGAACUGCUAACACCGCAUAAGCUCACGAGCUAUAGAGGCUGGUGAGAAAAGGCUUAGGUCACUGGGAGCGGGGGCUGCGGCCCAUCAGCUAGUUGGUGAGGAACGGCUUACCAAGGCGACGACGGGUAGGGGACC
Molecule: ribosomal RNA, 255 nt
Filed under: uncultured bacterium
Lineage: Bacteria
Description: partial 16S ribosomal RNA
Rfam family: Bacterial small subunit ribosomal RNA
Source: RNAcentral